UAGCGGCGGACGGGUGAGUAACGCGUGGGAACAUACCCUUUGGUACGGAAUAGCCUCGGGAAACUGGGAGUAAUACCGUAUGUGCCCUUCGGGGGAAAGAUUUAUCGGAGUUGGAUGAGCCCGCGUUAGAUUAGUUUGUUGGUGGGGUAAUGGCCUACCAAGACUACGAUCUAUAGUUGGUCUGAGAGGAUGAUCAGCCACACUGGGACUGAGACACGGCCCAGACUCC
Molecule: ribosomal RNA, 229 nt
Filed under: uncultured bacterium
Lineage: Bacteria
Description: partial 16S ribosomal RNA
Rfam family: Bacterial small subunit ribosomal RNA
Source: RNAcentral